GGGAGGUCACAAGACGUUGCUGAGUAGAGUGCACUGUGUACCUGGGACGGUUGGCGUGCUACGCGAAGUUCUCUGAGUUUAGACGCUAUACGGGUAUGGGAGACAGAGCGUUAAGACAUUCGGAGAGAAAUCUCAGAAAGGAGGCGAAUUGGGAAGCACGACAUGGCAUGUAUGGUGCCGCUGCUGUACAUCAAGCUCAAGCACAAGCAGUAAGA
Corticium candelabrum is the source of this 215-nucleotide long non-coding RNA. RefSeq lists it as uncharacterized. NCBI's taxonomy places the organism in Eukaryota, Metazoa, Porifera, Homoscleromorpha, Homosclerophorida, Plakinidae. The record is from RefSeq and is a predicted model, not a curated record. The transcript has 2 exons.